This 1717-nucleotide long non-coding RNA is filed under the name Cavia porcellus (domestic guinea pig). Its description in RNAcentral is "lncRNA (ENSCPOG00000035807.1)". Lineage: Eukaryota; Metazoa; Chordata; Mammalia; Rodentia; Caviidae. The record is from RNAcentral.
CUGAUUUUAGCAUUAAAAUCCUUGGCUCCAAGUCCUGGAUCUGCCUUUUAUAAGACAUUCAAGGUGCCAGCCUGUUUCCUUAACUGUAAAGUGGAUGACCCUGACCCCACCCAUCCUCAGAACAGGAUGUGUCACCACAUCACAGAGGACGCCCAGCUUGGUGCCAGACGCAGACCAGAGACAGGCACGAGGCACGUCAGGGAGCUUCAGUGCUGAGGCCGGAGGCUCGGGCAUGAGGGCUAUGGGCCUCAGGUGUGCCCAGGAGCCCGGGUGGGGCCGUGCCCUUGGACCUGCCCAGCCAGCCCAGCCAGUCCUAGUGCAGCCACCCUCAGAGCAAACAGCCCGGGAGCGCGCCCUGCCAGACGCUGAACAUGCUUCUGAGCCACGUCACGGUUUCGCGAGCUGACUUCCGCCGCCCCCAGGAGCCUCCCCAGAUACGCUCUGCUCAGAUUUGCUCUUUUAACCUCUACUCCAUACUGCUUGUUCAAGCUGUUCAAGCAGUUAUGCGGAAAUGGGCUUGUACAGUCUUUGGGCCACCUUCUCACACGGGCUCUAAUGUCCACUCUGAGGCACGCCCAGCAGGAAGGCCAUCUCAGGAAUAUGCAGACCUCCCCUGGACGGAAUUCAUCACCAAACAGGCUCAUCCUCAGACGGAGCCGAGCUGCUCCCCACCACACAGCCUGCUGGACGCACAGAAUUGUGUCCUCCCUGUCACUCAGCUCAUCUCACGUCCUUCUCGGAACUCUGCUCUCUGCGGGCCGAUGGCCCCCUGCCUCACCAGCUGCUGUCCCCAAACCUUCUCCAGUGUCCUCGAGCCUGCACUGCCCCACACUGGCCAUCGUGUCGCCUGAGGACUGGGGGUAGGGAAGGGCAGCCGCCCCUCUCUUUUCCCAGGUCCUGGCUCCCGCUGUGGCUGGGCUGGCAGGGACUCUCACCCCUGGUCCUUUUGGAACCUGUGGAAAACCAGCUCCCCUCAUCCCCGUCUACUUGGAUGACUGGUGUUAGUGCCCCCAGUUACAAGAUGCUACAUUUUCCCUUGUAAAAUUUUCUCUUUUCCUUUUCUACCCUGACAAACUGUUUUGAAUCCUGACUCAGAGCUAUUUACUAUCCUUCCCAGGGCUGGGUCAUCUAUAGCCCAGAGAAGUCUCCUUCAGGGUAUUUAUUUUAAAGACAAAUAAAAUACAUUGCUUUGCAGGACAGAUUUACGUUCCCUCACCCGUGCUUGUCCAGGUUAGUCCCGAAGUGCUGAGUGAGGGGCUGCAGUCCCCCUGGACGGCCUGGGAAUGUGCAUGCAGGCUUUGCUCUGUGAAGAGGGCGCAGGGGAUCCACUAGCACCUCUACUGUUGGGAGCUUCAUGUCACACAGUGAUCUGGUUCCAUGUCUCUGUUCCCAGUGUGAAGAGCACUGCUGAGAAGCGUAGAGUUGGAAAUAGAGACAUGGGGUUCUUUACCUCUCUCUGUGACAUGAACACUCCCGCCUUCCCUUCGUAGAGAAGCGUUACGUUUUGUUCUCUUGCUCCAGACAGACGAGGAAGGAACCAAACACCCAACCUUGGUGCUCACAGGGACUCCUCCACAGCCGCUGCUCGUUCAGGGUUUCUGUCCUUCUGGGCAUCCUGACACACCAUGGUGUAUCCCCGCCAACACAUCCUACAGAUGGGAACCGUCAGGAGGCCCUCGGAAAUCUAAGCUCAUCUGUCCACUGUGGCUACUGCCUU